Long non-coding RNA from Hypanus sabinus (Atlantic stingray), 1451 nucleotides. RefSeq lists it as uncharacterized. The transcript is spliced from 4 exons. NCBI's taxonomy places the organism in Eukaryota, Metazoa, Chordata, Chondrichthyes, Myliobatiformes, Dasyatidae. The record is from RefSeq and is a predicted model, not a curated record.
GUUCACCUGCUCAGUGUGUGGGAAGGGAUUCUCUCAGUCAUCUGAACUGAAGGUACAUCAGCGAGUUCACACUGGGGAGAGGCCAUUCACCUGCUCAGUCUGUGGGAAGGGAUUCAUUAAAUCAUCUCACCUACUGAGACACCAGUCAAUUCACACUGGCGAGCGGCCGUUCACCUGCUCAGACUGUGGGAAGGGAUUCACUUGCUCAUCGAAACUGAAGAUUCUUGAAGGGGAACAAUGUGUCUUUGAGGAGUGGGAAGUACUUGUCUGAACCUAGUGAUAAAGGCAACGGGAAAGGAAAGAUGCAACAGGAAGGAUCUGAUGAAAUGCCAUUGUGGGCUGAAGAUAUGGCUUGGAAACAGUUCACUUAAAGACUAACUUGAAAAGAAUAGUAAUGAAAUGAUGUCAUUUCUUGGAAAACUUAAGGACCUGUAAGCACAAGUCACUACACACAAAGAGGAAUUGAAGAUAAUUAAGCAAAAAUUGCUUGGAAGUAAAAUAAAGUAAGACUCGUUUGGAAAGAUAUCGAAAUAAGAUUAUAGACCUGGAAACUAGGUCUCGCCGAAGGAAUAUACAAAUUGUUGGGCUGCAAGAAGGAGUUGAAAAUGGAGUUUUAACUGCUUACAUUGGUAAGCUUUUUCAUACCUUAUUUCCUUCUAUAUUAUCACAGCCGCCAACUACAGAAAAAACACACAGAACACUUCGAGAUCUCAAGAUCCAAAUAAACCAAGGGCUGUUCUGGUUUGUUCUCAAUAUUUUAAGAUUGAAGGUCAAAUAAUGUGACAGGCAAGAAAACAGAGUUUUUAGAUUUGAGACAUCUGAGCUAGGUUUUUAUGAAGAUUUUUCUAAGGAGGUAAUGGAACAAAGAUUAAAAUUUACUCUGGUAAUGAAACAGGGAUAUGAUAAGAAAUUGUUUCCUUCCUUGCGUAACCCAAUGAGGAUUAAAGUUCUUCCUCCUAAUUCUCCUCCUCGUACAUUUUGUGAUCCUAAAGUUGCACUGGCAUUUGUUUAAACUACACCUGCUGCGACUGCCGAUUGAACUGUCUGGCACAUUAUCUGCAUAAUAGCAUUUCGGAAAGAAGAUUUAUGAAGGCUACUUGGACACUUCAUUGAGAGAUUAUUAAAAGAAGAUUAGGGGACUUGUUUAUUACUGCAGAUCAUUGUUUUUUUCGCUUUCAGUUUGUCUUUCGAAUUUGAUGAUGCAAUCCUUGCCCACCCACCUUGGCGCCUGUCUCAGACAUCAUUGCAGAAUUCAGACUUUGUUCGCUUCAUUGAAAACCAGUUUUCACGGAGGACAAGACAAGGUUGUCUAUUAAGUCCUUUGUUAUUUAACUUAAAACUAGAAUCCCUUGGUAUCACUCUUCGUGAAGCUAAAGAUCUUCAUGGGAUUCUUGUGAAUGAGAUUUCUCUACGCUGACGAUUUUCUGGUUUAUAUAUCUAAUCCCAAAGAA